This 642-nucleotide ribosomal RNA is filed under the name Bacillus sp. CB14(2010). Its description in RNAcentral is "bacterial SSU rRNA". The stretch from base 1 to 445 matches the Rfam family "Bacterial small subunit ribosomal RNA", at positions 108 to 541 of the family's 1533-position model. Lineage: Bacteria; Bacillati; Bacillota; Bacilli; Caryophanales; Bacillaceae. The record is from RNAcentral.
GAGUAACACGUGGGUAACCUGCCCAUAAGACUGGGAUAACUCCGGGAAACCGGGGCUAAUACCGGAUAACAUUUUGAACCGGAUGGUUCCAAAUUGAAAGGCGGCUUCGGCUGUCACUUAUGGAUGGACCCGCGUCGCAUUAACUAGUUGGUGAGGUAACGGCUCACCAAGGCAACGAUGCGUAGACCACCUGAGAGGGUGAUCGGCCACACUGGGACUGAGACACGGCCCAGACUCCUACGAGAGGCAGCAGUAGGGAAUCUUCCUCAAUGGACGAAAGUCUGACGGAGCAACGCCCCGUGAGUGAUGAAGGCUUUCGGGUCGUAAACUCUGUUGUGAGGCAAGAACAAGUGCUAGUUGAAUAAGCUGGCACCUUGACGGUACCUAACAGAAUGCCACGGCCACUACGAUGCAGCAGCCGCAGUAAUACGUAGGAGUCAUGCGUAUCAGCAUUUCGGGCGUAAUCGCGCGCAGGGGUUUACUUCCGUCUGAUGUCAAGGCCACUGCCUUAGCGAUGAGGUCUUGGUACCUGGGAGACUGAGUGAUACAGGUACGGAAUUCCUGUGUAAUCGUGGGAUGCCUAAAUUGGAGGAACCCUGGCAUGCAACUCUCUGUCUGACUGACUGGAGCCAAGCUGGAACA